Molecule: non-coding RNA, 7196 nt
Organism: Nerophis lumbriciformis (worm pipefish)
Lineage: Eukaryota; Metazoa; Chordata; Actinopteri; Syngnathiformes; Syngnathidae
Source: RefSeq, a predicted model, not a curated record
AGACAAGAAAGAGUGAGAAGAGCCUGUAGUGUAAUGCCCGCAGCUAAAAGCAACUGCAUGAGAACGUAUACUCGAAUAUCACGAUAUGGUCAUUUUCUAUAUCGCGAUAUAUCGAGUAUAUCGAUAUAUCGCCCAGCCCUAGUUUAUUGGAUGUCCUCAUAUGGAUCUAUUCCACCAAUUUGACUUAUGUUUUAAGUGGAAAGCGGGUCUAGUUUUUUACGGUGAAUUUUAAUUCAGUUUGUUGCUCUCUCCCACAAUACCGCUGGUUGCGUACAGCCAUGUAAUCAAAAACUUUGUCCAAAAACAAUGGAUACCCAGUCCCCACAAUGCAUUGCCCUUUCAGGCCCUAUAUUUAGUAGCAUGAUGAGUUGGAACAUUCAUAUUGUUUACAGUUGAACAUAUCUGAAAGGGAGUAGGAAGAAGAAAAGGUUGAUUACUCCUACCCCUUCCUCACAAUUACUAAUAUGUUUGGUUACUUCCUGUGCUCAAAAGUCACAGCACAUUCAAAGACAAAUCUUUGUGUUUUUGUUCAUUAUCAGUAUUAACAUUUAUUAAUUUUCUCAUAACGUAAUUAAUUUUGCUGUAUUUAUCAAUUUUUGAUGUUUUUUUCAAGGUCAAAAUAACUAAACAGCCCCGUUCAACUCGACGUCCCUGCUUGAAUUCUUUCCAUGUGCCGGCGAGAAAAAGUAUCUCCAGGCUCUAUUCAGCACGAUGGCUAGCCGUUAGUCCAAGGAGACAGGCAGAGCAGCGUGUCGUACAGGCGUCCACACCUGUUGCCAUUUAAUAACAGUGGCUUGUAAAAGUUGAUUGAUUUGAUAUGCAACACAGUCUGCUCUUUAAAUGUUAAUACCACCGACAGUCACCUUCAUUUAAUUGUGACAGACAAAAUUGUGAUCGUGAUUAAAAUUUGAUUAAAUGUGCAACCCUAGUCUGAUUACUCUCUAAAUAUAACGACAGAGUCGCUAAGUUGGCAACACUGAUCCCUUCUAGGAAUGGGUAUUAUUUUACAUUUUAACUGAUGCUAGUACCAACUUGGUACUGGAAAAAACUGUGCCGGUGCAUAAACAGAGCCUGAACUGGUACUUAAAAAAAUGGAAAACAUUUUUGUAAAAAAAAACCAACACAGAAAUACCUUUUUUCGCUUAUGAAAUUUUGUGACAUUCACAUUGAACAGACUGAAAUACUUACAUUAUAUAAAUUAAAUGAAAAGUAAAAAAAGUAACACAUUGUCAUAAUUAUCGCAAAAAGUGGUAUCUGUAAUAUUGACGCUAAUAAUUCAGACAGUUCGUGAACCCAACCCUGCUUGCCUAAUUGUCAUUAGUGCGUAAUGAGGAAGUGCUGUUUUGUUGUUGUUAUGAAGGCUGCUGUUGGCGUGUUCAGGUUGGCAAAAACUAAAAAAAACAGUGUUAGAGUCAGUGCUUCUUUCUAAAAUCUAUAUUGCGAUAUAUACAUGUAGCCUCCUGCAAAAAGGAUAUACAUCACAAUGUGUUAUUUGCCAUAUAAAUGACAAUAGAACUAUUUUAAAAUGGGUUACACAAGGUCCUCAUUUAGCUGAUGACAUAUGCAGUAACAUAUUACAUACAUUCCGAUUGUAUUAUUUUUGUCAAGACUUGGUCCUUGGGGUUGGUUUUUCCGGAAGGCAACGGAAAGUUGGCUCGGGCGAGACAGGAAUGUGAGUACUUAAUAUUAUCAAAAAAGAACAAACGAAAGGCGCGCACAAUGACGGAGGUAAAAAACUUGGCUAAUGAAAACAAAACUUGCACAAAGGCAGAAACUGUGAACAAUGAAACAAAAACUUACUUGGCAUGGGACUGUGAACAUGGCAUUAUGCAGAGUGACGAUAAAGAGUGAUGUUGCCAGACUGACCAACAGAAAAUGAAAAGCUUAAAUACACAGACAUGAUUAACAACAGGUGCGUGACUCAAAACGUGAAACAAGUGCGUGACAUGACAGGUGAAAACUAAUGGGUUGCUAUGGAAACAAAACAAGGGAGUGAACAACCAGGAACUAAGAAAGUGCCUAAAAAAACAAACAGCACAUGGCCAAACAAAAACAUGAUCAACACAGACAUGAACAUUUUCUCAAAACUAUGAUUCAUCUACAGUACUUGUUAAGUUUCUGUUAAUAUCUGGUUCUAUCUACACUUCUGUUAAAAUGUAAUAAUCACUUAUUCUAGUGUUGUUUCAAUAUUUACAUUAGUUUUGGGCAAUACUACAAAUGUGAGUAUCAUUCCAAUACCAAGAGCAGUAUUGGUCAUAACAAUGCUUCAGCUUUUCAAGAUCAUUGAAUUAUUAUAUUAUGUAUAAAUGUGUAUAUAAUGACCUAUUGUUUGCUCGGAUUUGAAUAAAUUGGGUUUUGCCUUUGUGUCCAUGGACUUAUUUCCUUUGUUUGUAAACAAAAACAAACAUGACAAAAUAUUUUGGAAUAGUACAAAAUAUAAAGUUAAUCAUUGUGGUAUCGUUAUUUGUAUCAAUUCGCCCACUUUGUUUACAUUGAAGAACUCUAGUUUGUAUAUCCCCCAAGGGUGAUAGUUGUAGCAUGUUAAGUUUUUACUCGUCCUCCUAGGAUGAUGCUUGUAAAAAACAUAGUUUAUAUGCCGCUAUGAAGGCAAGGAUUGCUGACUUAGAAGUGGCUUUGCACUGUGGAGGUACAUUAGCCACCAGCGAGGUUUAGGACGCGGCCGUUCGCUUGUCGCUGUCAAAUUUACGGACACAGCUAGAAUGGGUUGUCAUCAUGUAUUAUCACCAUAUAUCAGAAUCAGAAAUACUUAAUUAAUAUAGUAUGAAAGCCCUGUCGGCCAAAUUCAUAUCACUUUUAUCAGUAUUUCUUAACCAUAGGGCCCAUUGUUGGGUCACCAGAACCCUAGAGAGGGCCUCCAAAAAUAUCUGUUUCUCAGCUGUGGUCCGUAUGGGCCGCUGCGGUAUUCAGUUGUAAUGCACUUCCUCACCACUUGUGGCAGUAAUGACAAUAUCAAACAAACAGAAGAAGUCUGGAGCUAAAGUCAUAAAGAAGUUUGUUAAACGGAAAAAUUAUGACUAAAGAGGUGAAGCUGUAAUUUCAUUUGCACUAUCAUUUACUUUAAAAAAAAUCAUCAUUAACUUAGUUUAUUUAUUUCAGCAAUACGUAAAUAUAUGUAAAUGUAUUUUUUCAUCAGUUAUUUACAUAUGAGUCUCUUUUUAUGCAGUAUAUUUGGUUAGUGUUUAUUUUUCUAAUCAGCCUGACAUACGUAAAUAUAUGUAAAAGUAUUUUUUUUGUCAGUUAUUUACGUAUGAGUCUCUUUUUAUGCAGUAUAUUUGGUUAGUGCUUAUCUUUCUAAUCAGCCUGACAUAAGCCUAAGAUUUAUGUGACAAAUGAAUAAAAACACAAUCAUUUGACAAGGUUGUAAAUAGGGAUGACAUUUGAUAAGAAAUUAUCAAGUUUGAGUCCAUUAUUGAAUCCUCUUAUCGAACCGAUUCCCUAUCGAUUCUCUUAUCGAAUCCAGAUAGGUUGUUGUAUAUGGAAACAAACACACAAUAUUUGGUUGAACAAAAGCUCACUUUUAUUUUAUAAGAAAAAAUAAAACAAAAUAAAUAAAUAAAUAUUGACUGUUGUUACCCCCCUAAAAAAAUAAAAUAAAAUAAAUAAAUAUUGACUGUUGUUACCCAAAGUAUAUUAAGUGGGAUUUUUCAGAAAAAACAAAUAUAUACAGUAACACAAAAACAACCUGUCUCUGUGAUCACUAUAGGUGUAUAAAUAAUAAUAUAGUGUUAAAUAAAAUCAGUCCCUUGGGCACAAAACUGAAAAUAAUACAGCUCUCCAAAAAGUGCACUUCUGCUGCUAUUGGAACAUCCUUCUGGGGUCCAUCAGUGUGGCCUCCUCCAGGAAUGACUGCACGUCCUUGUCCUGGAGGGAAAAUGAGGGACAGACACAGCAUAGAAUUAGGGGGGAAAUUAGCUGAAUGUGAAGACUAGGGUGUCUGUUAUUAAGUCUUUAGCAUUAGUAUGUGGAAUUAAAUGAUGGAAUGGAUUAAGUAAUGCAGUUAAACAUUGUACUGAUAUGAUCCACUUUAAGAGGUUGUUCAAAUUGAUAGUGCUUACAAAGUACAAAGAAGAAUUAUGAGCAAUACUUUCAACCUUAUUGAAAAUAAGAUAUUUUUCAUCUCAGUAUAUUAAUAAUGACUGAAUUAAUUAAUGACAUAUUGCAAAACUGUUGUAUAUACUAAUUCACAGAUGUUAUUUUAUUAUAAAAAGGUCAGUAAAUGAUGAAUAUAUUUGUAAACGCUCUGAAGUGGGAAAGGGGUAGGAUUAAAUAAGCUUUACUUCUUCCUACUCCUUUUCGGACAUGAUGUAAAGUGAAAUGACAUGAAACUGUGAUGUGUUAUGCUGUAAGCGUGUUCAUGUACAAAAUAAACUAAAGAAAGAAAGAAAGCACUAGUUUAUUAGACAGACCUGCAAACUCUGGAGUGAUGUAGGCUACAAGAUACCGUUAACAUUAUCAGACACAUACAAAAAGGCUAACGUUACCGUUACCGUUAGCCACUGACUAACUAACAUUACUGCAGUCCUGGUUGACAUUAGAGGUAACCUUAUUUUAGCCUAAAGGCUACGAGAGAGCAGAUAUGGAAAUUGACCGGCAACAGUUAACAUUAGUUACUCACCAGCACUAUCACUGGAAUUGGCGCUGCAGGUUGAAGCAGAGGAAGAGGGGGGUGCUUUGUCAUCUCUGUCGCUGCUUCUCCACGACACCUUUCUCGAACGUUCAAGUUAUGUACGGCCUGAACAUGUUUCAUCAUGCUUGUUGUACUUCCCCCCUUACGUGAGAGCGAAGCCUGGCAAUAAUUGCAAAUAGCCGUUUCCUCGUCGUAUUUUUUUGUAAAAUUAAGCCUUGAGGCGUUUUUUCCGGUCCAUUGUUGUUGCUGCUUCUGUAUCUGCCGCCUAAUGACUGAGCUACGUCAAUCCCUGGGACGUGCCACAGGGCAUUUCCUGCGGGACGGGAUUCGUUUCCAGAGAUUCGAAUAAAGAACCAACUCUUUUUCUUUACUAUAGUGGCCUCGAUAACAGGAACCGGUUCUCAAAAAGGGAUUCGAGUCCAUGCAAACGGUUCUUUUUUUAUCGAACAACCGGGAGAACCGGUUUCGAACAUCAUCCCUAGUUGUAAACUGUAAUCAGGUUGGAUAUAAUUUUAAAUACCAUUAAGAUCAAGAGUAAGAUGACUAAUUCAGUGUUUAUAUUUAAGGGGGUCUUGGACCCCUCUGUAGUGGAAAAUUUGGUCCCCGACUUCCAAAAGGUUAAGAACCCUUGGUUUAUAUCGUAUAUCGUGCAACCCUAGUUGCUAACAUCUACACUGGCACUGGUGCCAUUAUGGAACCAGGUUUUGGUGCCCAUCUUUAAUGCCUACUGCUCCAUCUCAUUAUUCUCUGGCAGACCAGGUGCGCUAAAAUGUGAUUAAGAGGGUAAACAGGUACAGUACCUCCAACUCUAUCAGUGGCUGUCAAAAUGUAUUUGAGUUUAUGUGAAAGACUGUCCUGAUGGGGAUAUGUAAUUUGCAGACAAACUUUUUAUUGGACAAUGAUGUAGGACCAACACUGAUAAUAAAUCUCUGUUAUCAUGAAUAUAUUAAAUUAUUUAUACAGUAAGUUAUAUAUAAAAAAGAUUACCUCCAUGACUUUAAUUCUAGGCUUUAAUACAUACAUAAACAAGGAGUUUAUGGAUCUUUGAAAACGUCCCAGCAAAUGACAGUAUUCACUUCUGUGAAUGAAAUACACGAGGGGAAGACUACUUUGUGUCUUUUCGUGCAGGUUUAAAAUAGAAACUCAGUGGCUUUGGCUAUUUUAGGGAAAAUGUUUUCCAUAAAGUCUCACACAAUAUCGAGCGUCACCAACAAGAUGCAAUAUUGCUAGAUCCUGCGGUGUCAUUAGUCCACAUAGUGUAUAUAGUCCAUGCAGGUGUGCAGCAGCACGGCACACACACUUUUAAAGGCGAGGACACACACACACACACACAGAGAAAAUCAACCAAAUGGCGCUGCUGUUGAACCCGUGCCAACCGCACGCUAACCCAGUCUUCUGCAGGCUCUCUGGGGAUCUGCUCGUACUUUUUUAUUUUUUAUUUUUUUAAAUCUACUGUACUACACUCCUUCCUUCCCUUCCUCCCCCAUGCACCUUCAUCAACAAAGACACACACACACGGACACACACGCACAGGCCGAUGCACAUGAAAAUGUCCACCAGUCAGAAUACAGAAGGCUGUGUUUAUUUGCAGCAUGCUGGCCUUGAAUGCAUGGAUAGCCAUCCUCCCUUUCCUCCUCCUCUUGUUCACUUCCGUCUCCCUUGAGGCUUUCUGGAUGCUGCUGCAGUCUUCUGGAAAACCCACUUUCUGCUUGUGUGUGUGUGUGUGUGUGUGUGUGUGUGUCUAAGGUGUCUUCCUAUGGGCAGAUGUUGGCCUUGACCAUUAAACACUCUCCGGUUACCUUCUAACUUGUAAUGCUUCCAACUCACCAACUGGCAGAUUUAUAGACACUCCCACACACACACACACACACACACACACACACACACACACACACACACACACACACACACACACACACACACACACACACACACACACACGCACAUACUGGUUAUCAUUUGGAAUGGGGACCAAGUUUUUGAUCAUCACUUGUGGGCACCACCCUUUCUACAGGUUGUGAAGGCAUAAAAAAAAUGAGGUACAAUGGCCACUGCCCAGUUAGCUCAUACACGUCUUUAAAUCUCUGGAUUGAUGAAGUAAUGUGCUGUUUUGUCUUACCGGGGACCCUGGGGAAAAAUAGUUCAUAUGGUUCAUGGGGGACCAAAUUUUAAUAAUUUUGCAUAAUUCACACAAAAUUUGUACGUGACUACUGAGGACCAUUUAUAAAAAAUUUAAAAAAAAAAUAAAAAUAAAAAUAAAGUUCAAAUUAAAUAUGACAUGAUCCUCAGAAUACAGCACUACAGCUGUCCUCUUAUAGGAAGUUUCACCACUUAAAUGUUAAAGCAAAUCUUAAAACCAAAGCUUAAAAAUCACUUAGGCAUCUUCAGAAUGGAUCUGACUAUCAUUUAAAAAGGUUUCCCUUUAGGGGACCUGUUUUUUUUUGUCCCCAUACCGUCAAAGGUCCCCUAAAGCAGUGGUCCCCAACCACCCGGUACCGGUCCGUGCAUCGAUUGGUACCGGCCUGCACAAGAAAAAAAAAUAAAUAAA